UUUGAAUGGUUCCGGUUAAGUUCGGUGAAGUUCGGGAGCAUUCGGGCGUUUCGGUGCGCGUAGGCGCGAAAACAGGACCCGAAAGGCUAUGUUGGGCCGUGAAUUAAAUCCGGCAUUAGCGUGGAUGAAAAGAUGAUGAAAACAUGCUCGAAAAUAUGUUUGGAGAGUUUUGGUUCGAUUUGAAAAGAAUCGGAGGUCAAACGAGCGAAAACGAGCGAAAACGGAGAAAAAAUGGUGAAAAAGCUGAAAAUUUGGCAAAGUCCUAAAAUGCUGAAAUUCUGGACCUACGGGGACCGGUCCUGUCACGCCCCGCGACCAACCGCCUAUUUUGACCGGGUCGCGGCGCCGACGACAGACCGCCGAACGGACCGGGAAUUCCCCUGUACGCGGACAGAGUCUCCCCAGUACGUCCAAGGCGUCGCAAUCCAAACAAU
Molecule: long non-coding RNA, 434 nt
Filed under: Ananas comosus (pineapple)
Lineage: Eukaryota; Viridiplantae; Streptophyta; Magnoliopsida; Poales; Bromeliaceae
Description: long non-coding RNA (ACOM_LNC039036)
Source: RNAcentral